RNAcentral lists this ribosomal RNA (466 nucleotides) under uncultured bacterium. RNAcentral describes it as "partial 16S ribosomal RNA". It matches the Rfam family "Bacterial small subunit ribosomal RNA", at positions 28 to 507 of the family's 1533-position model. The record is from RNAcentral.
GAUGAACGCUGGCGGCGUGCUUAACACAUGCAAGUCGAACGGAAAGGCUCCUGCUUGCAGGGGUACUCGAGUGGCGAACGGGUGAGUAACACGUGGGUGAUCUGCCCUGCACUUCGGGAUAAGCCUGGGAAACUGGGUCUAAUACCGGCUAGGACGAUGGUUUGGAUGCCAUUGUGGAAAGUUUUUUCGGUGUGGGAUGAGCUCGCGGCCUAUCAGCUUGUUGGUGGGGUAAUGGCCUACCAAGGCGUCGACGGGUAGCCGGCCUGAGAGGGUGUACGGCCACAUUGGGACUGAGAUACGGCCCAGACUCCUACGGGAGGCAGCAGUGGGGAAUAUUGCACAAUGGGCGCAAGCCUGAUGCAGCGACGCCGCGUGGGGGAUGACGGCCUUCGGGUUGUAAACUCCUUUCGCUAGGGACGAAGCGCAAGUGACGGUACCUGGAGAAGAAGCACCGGCUAACUACGUG